ACGCUGGCCGUGCUGGCAGUGGGCCGCCUCGAUCCCUCUGCAGUCUUUCCCUUGAGGCUCCAAGACCAGCAGGUGAGGCCUCGCGGCGCUGAAACCGUGAGGCCCGGACCACAGCUCCAGAUGGACCCUGGGAAGGACAAAGAGGGGGUGCCCCAGCCCUCAGGGCCGCCAGCAAGGAAGAAAUUUGUGAUACCCCUCGACGAGGAUGAGGUCCCUCCUGGAGUGGUAGGACAAGGAG
Molecule: long non-coding RNA, 238 nt
Filed under: Homo sapiens (human)
Lineage: Eukaryota; Metazoa; Chordata; Mammalia; Primates; Hominidae
Description: non-protein coding lnc-PPP1R13L-3:1
Source: RNAcentral